UUGGAGGGCAAGUCUGGUGCCAGCAGCCGCGGUAAUUCCAGCUCCAAUAGCGUAUAUUAAAGUUGUUGCAGUUAAAAAGCUCGUAGUUGAAUUUCGGGAUCAGUACGUUGGUCGUGCCUUAGGUACGUACUGGUGUUACUGGUUUCUACCUUCUGACGAACCAUCAUGUCAUUCAUUUGGUGUGGCGGGGAAUCAGGACUGUUACUUUGAAAAAAUUAGAGUGUUUAAAGCAGGCUCGCGCUUGAAUACAUUAGCAUGGAAUAAUGAAAUAGGACGUUGAUCCUAUUUUGUUGGUUUCUAGGAUUGACGUAAUGAUUAAUAGGGAUAGUUGGGGGCAUUAGUAUUCAAUUGUCAGAGGUGAAAUUCUUGGAUUUAUCGAAGACUAACUACUGCGAAAGCAUUUGCCAAGGAUGUUUUCAUUAAUCAAGAACGAAAGUUAGGGGAUCGAAGACGAUCAGAUACCGUCGUAGUCUUAACCAUAAACUAUGCCGACUAGGGAUCGGAUGAUGUUAUUUUUAAUGACUCAUUCGGCGCCUUACGGGAAAC
RNAcentral lists this ribosomal RNA (546 nucleotides) under uncultured Glomeromycotina. RNAcentral describes it as "SSU rRNA". It matches the Rfam family "Eukaryotic small subunit ribosomal RNA", at positions 548 to 1098 of the family's 1831-position model. The record is from RNAcentral. Lineage: Eukaryota; Fungi; Glomeromycota.